Molecule: unclassified non-coding RNA, 152 nt
Filed under: uncultured Tumularia
Lineage: Eukaryota; Fungi; Ascomycota
Description: sequence contains ITS2
Source: RNAcentral
AACCCUUCAAGCUUCUGCUUGGUGUUGGGCGUUUGUUCCGCCUCCGCGCGUGGACUCGCCUCAAAUUUAUUGGCAGCCGGUAAGUUGGCUUCGUGCGCAGCACAUUGCGUCGCGUCUCCAGCCUGCCCCCUUCCAACAAGCCUUUAUUAUCA